RNAcentral lists this ribosomal RNA (723 nucleotides) under uncultured bacterium. Its description in RNAcentral is "bacterial SSU rRNA". It matches the Rfam family "Bacterial small subunit ribosomal RNA", at positions 56 to 789 of the family's 1533-position model. The record is from RNAcentral.
UGCAGUCGAACGGUGUAGCAUACAUAGNUGGCGCACGGGUGCGUAACACGUAUGCAACCUACCUUAUACUGGGGGAUAGCCUUUGGAAACGGAGAUUAAUACCCCAUAGUACAUUUGAUUGGCAUCAAUUAAAUGUUAAAGAUUUAUCGGUAUAAGCUGGGCAUGCGUCCAAUUAGUUAGUUGGUGAGGUAAUGGCUCACCAAGACUUUGAUUGGUAGGGGAACUGAGAGGUUAAUCCCCCACACUGGCACUGAGAUACGGGCCAGACUCCUACGGGAGGCAGCAGUAGGGAAUAUUGGGCAAUGGAGGCAACUCUGACCCAGCCAUGCCGCGUGCAGGAAGAAGGCGUUAUGCGUUGUAAACUGCUUUUAUAUAGGAAGAAAUAGUCCUUGCGAGGAAAGUUGACGGUACUAUAUGAAUAAGCACCGGCUAACUCCGUGCCAGCAGCCGCGGUAAUACGGAGGGUGCAAGCGUUGUCCGGAUUUAUUGGGUUUAAAGGGUGCGUAGGCGGUUUAUUAAGUCAGUGGUGAAAGACGGUCGCUCAACGAUUGCAGUGCCAUUGAUACUGGUAGACUUGAGUGGGAUUGAGGUAGCUGGAAUGGAUAGUGUAGCGGUGAAAUGCAUAGAUAUUAUCCAGAACACCAAUUGCGUAGGCAAGUUACUAAGUCUCAACUGACGCUGAGGCACGAAAGUGUGGGGUAUCAAACAGGAUUAGAUACCCUG